RNAcentral lists this ribosomal RNA (1516 nucleotides) under metagenome. RNAcentral's name for it is "bacterial LSU rRNA". It matches the Rfam family "Bacterial large subunit ribosomal RNA", at positions 1409 to 2925 of the family's 2925-position model. The record is from RNAcentral.
GGGUUCCUCAUGGAGCGCGCGACCCUAGCGAGUAGUAGGUAAGCAAUGGAGAGACGCAGGAAGGUAGCCGAACCGCGGCGAUGGUUGUUCCGCGGGUAAGGGUGUAGGGCGAGGUGUAGGCAAAUCCGCACCUCAUGUGCCUGAGACCUGACACGGACCCGUAAGGGGAAGUCGGUGAUCCUAUGCUGCCAAGAAAAUCUUCUAGCGAGGUUCUAGCCGCCCGUACCCCAAACCGACUCAGGUGGUUAGGUAGAGAAUACCAAGGCGAUCGAGUGAAUCGUGGUUAAGGAAUUCGGCAAAAUACCCCCGUAACUUCGGGAGAAGGGGGGCCCAGAGGGUGACGGGACUUGCUCCCCGAGCCUGAACGGCCGCAGAGACCAGGGAGAAGCGACUGUUUACUAAAAACACAGGUCCGUGCCAAGUCGCAAGACGAUGUAUACGGACUGACGCCUGCCCGGUGCUGGAACGUUAAGGGGACCGGUUAGCCUCACGGCGAAGCUGAGAACUUAAGCGCCAGUAAACGGCGGUGGUAACUAUAACCAUCCUAAGGUAGCGAAAUUCCCUGUCGGGUAAGUUCCGACCUGCACGAAUGGCGUAACGACUUCUCCACUGUCUCAACCACGAACUCGGCGAAAUUGCACUACGAGUAAAGAUGCUCGUUACGCGCAGAAGGACGGAAAGACCCCGGGACCUUUACUACAGCUUGGUAUUGGUGUUCGGUACGGCUUGUGUAGGAUAGGUGGGAGACUGUGAAGCUGACACGCCAGUGUCGGUGGAGUCAACGUUGAAAUACCACUCUGGUCGUUCUGGAUAUCUAACCUAGGUCCGUAAUCCGGAUCAGGGACAGUGCCUGGUGGGUAGUUUAACUGGGGCGGUUGCCUCCUAAAAGGUAACGGAGGCGCCCAAAGGUUCCCUCAGCCUGGUUGGCAAUCAGGUUUCGAGUGUAAGUGCACAAGGGAGCUUGACCGUGAGACUGACAAGUCGAACAGGGACGAAAGUCGGGACUAGUGAUCCGGCGGUGGCUUGUGGAAGCGCCGUCGCUCAACGGAUAAAAGGUACCCCGGGGAUAACAGGCUGAUCUUGCCCAAGAGUCCAUAUCGACGGCAUGGUUUGGCACCUCGAUGUCGGCUCGUCGCAUCCUGGGGCUGGAGUAGGUCCCAAGGGUUGGGCUGUUCGCCCAUUAAAGCGGUACGCGAGCUGGGUUUAGAACGUCGUGAGACAGUUCGGUCCCUAUCCUCUGUGCGCGCAGGAAACUUGAGAAGGGCUGUCCCUAGUACGAGAGGACCGGGAUGGACGAACCUCUGGUGUGUCAGUUGUUCUGCCAAGAGCACCGCUGAUUAGCUACGUUCGGGAGUGAUAACCGCUGAAAGCAUCUAAGCGGGAAGCAUGCUUCAAGAUGAGGUUUCCAUGGGGUUUACCCCGAGAGGCUCCCAGCUAGACUACUGGGUUGAUAGGCCGGAUGUGGAAGUGCGGUAACGCAUGGAGCUGACCGGUACUAAUAAGCCGAUAACUUGAC